This 544-nucleotide ribosomal RNA is filed under the name Botryosphaeria dothidea. Its description in RNAcentral is "eukaryotic LSU rRNA". The stretch from base 192 to 345 matches the Rfam family "5.8S ribosomal RNA". Lineage: Eukaryota; Fungi; Ascomycota; Dothideomycetes; Botryosphaeriales; Botryosphaeriaceae. The record is from RNAcentral.
AAGGAUCAUUACCGAGUUGAUUCGGGCUCCGGCCCGAUCCUCCCACCCUUUGUGUACCUACCUCUGUUGCUUUGGCGGGCCGCGGUCCUCCGCGGCCGGCCCCCCUCCCCGGGGGGUGGCCAGCGCCCGCCAGAGGACCAUCAAACUCCAGUCAGUAAACGAUGCAGUCUGAAAAACAUUUAAUAAACUAAAACUUUCAACAACGGAUCUCUUGGUUCUGGCAUCGAUGAAGAACGCAGCGAAAUGCGAUAAGUAAUGUGAAUUGCAGAAUUCAGUGAAUCAUCGAAUCUUUGAACGCACAUUGCGCCCUUUGGUAUUCCGAAGGGCAUGCCUGUUCGAGCGUCAUUACAACCCUCAAGCUCUGCUUGGUAUUGGGCACCGUCCUUUGCGGGCGCGCCUCAAAGACCUCGGCGGUGGCGUCUUGCCUCAAGCGUAGUAGAACAUACAUCUCGCUUCGGAGCGCAGGGCGUCGCCCGCCGGACGAACCUUCUGAACUUUUCUCAAGGUUGACCUCGGAUCAGGUAGGGAUACCCGCUGAACUUAA